This is a non-coding RNA of Zootermopsis nevadensis, 390 nucleotides long. The record is from RefSeq and is a predicted model, not a curated record. NCBI's taxonomy places the organism in Eukaryota, Metazoa, Arthropoda, Insecta, Blattodea, Termopsidae.
CCUCUGGUCCACCUGAUAGUAUAACGCUGACUGCACCGAGGAGCUUAUCGGACUGAACGCCCAAACAAAUGAAAUACACUGACCGUGCCACCUCAGGUACACGGACUAGGCUCGUCCGCCAGCUCCGCUAGCUUCUCCACCGGCCAGAAACUACUGCGCCGACUAUAACGAGUUACAAGUCUAUCAUCAGCGUCCAAUAGCAGGAUUUUACGAAACUUAGUCGCUUUGUGCGUUUGAGUGGUCACCUCCAGUCAGGAUGUGCUUGUAUUGCCGAGAUAUCUGAAGAACACACACAGCGUCCCAUGUUCCCACGCUGAUGGUCAUUCCUCUGCAGGGACCCCGUACAACCGGGCGUGCAGAAAAAUGUACUUGCUGCCUCCAUCAUCAGGG